AGCGAACGCUGGCGGCAGGCCUAACACAUGCAAGUCGAACGGCUCUUCGGAGCAGUGGCGGACGGGUGAGUAACGCGUGGGAACGUGCCCUUUGGUUCGGAACAACACAGGGAAACUUGUGCUAAUACCGGAUGUGCCCUUCGGGGGAAAGAUUUAUCGCCAUUGGAGCGGCCCGCGUUGGAUUAGGUAGUUGGUGGGGUAAUGGCCCACCAAGCCGACGAUCCAUAGCUGGUCUGAGAGGAUGAUCAGCCACACUGGGACUGAGACACGGCCCAGACUCCUACGGGAGGCAGCAGUGGGGAAUCUUGCGCAAUGGGCGAAAGCCUGACGCAGCCAUGCCGCGUGAAUGAUGAAGGUCUUAGGAUUGUAAAAUUCUUUCACCGGGGAAGAUAAUGACGGUACCCGGAGAAGAAGCCCCGGCUAACUUCGUGCCAGCAGCCGCGGUAAUACGAAGGGGGCUAGCGUUGCUCGGAAUUACUGGGCGUAAAGGGCGCGUAGGCGGACAGUUAAGUCAGAGGUGAAAGCCCAGGGCUCAACCUUGGAAUUGCCUUUGAUACUGGCUGUCUUGAGUUCGGGAGAGGUGAGUGGAAUGCCGAGUGUAGAGGUGAAAUUCGUAGAUAUUCGGCGGAACACCAGUGGCGAAGGCGACUCACUGGCCCGAUACUGACGCUGAGGCGCGAAAGCGUGGGGAGCAAACAGG
This 700-nucleotide ribosomal RNA is filed under the name uncultured Alphaproteobacteria bacterium. RNAcentral describes it as "bacterial SSU rRNA". It matches the Rfam family "Bacterial small subunit ribosomal RNA", at positions 28 to 776 of the family's 1533-position model. Lineage: Bacteria; Pseudomonadati; Pseudomonadota; Alphaproteobacteria. The record is from RNAcentral.